AGCUCAAGUAGCGUACAUUAAAGUUGUUGCGGUUAAAGCGCUCCUAGUCGAAAGUGUGGCUGAUGCGCGUGGGGCGGCUUUAGGGCCGGACUCGCGGGCGUUGGUUGUUUGUGUGGGUGCUGGGGUGUGCCAUUAGGUUGGUGUGCUCCGAUCAGGUGCCUGCUCGUUUACUGUGAACAAAUUAGAGUGUUCAAAGCAGCCUGUAGCGGCGUGAAUAUCCUAGCAUGGAAUAAUGGAAUAGGACGGAGGUUCGUUUAUUUCGUUGGUUUGGAGGGCCAUCUGUAAUGAUUGAUAGGAACAGUCAGGAGGCUUGAUAUUCGGAAGUCAGAGGUGAAAUUCUUAGAUUUUCCGAGGAUCAACCGGUGCGAAGGCAUUGCCUAGGGAUGUUUUCAUUGAUCAA
Molecule: ribosomal RNA, 400 nt
Filed under: phytoplankton environmental sample
Lineage: Eukaryota
Description: partial small subunit ribosomal RNA
Rfam family: Eukaryotic small subunit ribosomal RNA
Source: RNAcentral